This 402-nucleotide unclassified non-coding RNA is filed under the name Eucalyptopsis alauda. RNAcentral's name for it is "partial external transcribed spacer". Lineage: Eukaryota; Viridiplantae; Streptophyta; Magnoliopsida; Myrtales; Myrtaceae. The record is from RNAcentral.
UGCAUCGAACUGCUUUCCUCACUUUCGAUCAAUUGUCGCUCCACGAGCAAACGUUGGAUGCGAAUCGCGGGUUCCUGUGCUGCAUACCUACUGCGACGGAAAUGUGUGCCUUCGGUUGUCCCUUCCAUCACAGCGUCCUCUUGGAUGCUCGAUUGGACCGGAUGGUGGGGCUCGUGUUCCACGAACAUCGUCUCAUUCGAUCGUUCGGAUGGACCGCGAGCGWCCGCCYGUUCUCUCGGAUGCGGAACUUUCUUCUUGGGCAUGGGGUCAUUGGCCCUGGUUCCCAAAUCGUUAAGCGUUUACCGCUUCACCGGAAUGACGCUCUCGCCUCGUCUUUGACCGUCGCGAAGCUCUCGGGCUUCUCGCGACGGAUCAUGCCGGGCGGACGUCGUGAAGGAAUGC